GGGAGCGGUACGGCUGGGCGGGCUGAGGCGACGGCGGGGCGGGGGCUCGCCCCGCCGGGCGCUGCGGGCUGUGCUGUCUGUUAGGAGCCAUUCCUUAUCUCUCCUGGAAGACGGAGGGCGCGAAGCAAACCGCCGCCUUCCCACGGGGGUGCCGCAGCCCCGUGGCGGGGCGCGGGGCCGGUCGGGAGUGGCGCAGCGGCGGCCGCUGCGAGGCAGCCUGUGGUUUCCCACCUUCCUGACAGGAAAGCUGCAGGGUAAAUCAUCCUGCCCCUCCAGCAGCAGCGCUUUAUGAAGCGAGAGAUCUGGGCAUUGCACGAGUGACGCCAGGCAUCGCCCUUCGUUGCAGCUUCGUCACCGGCAGCGCGGCCGAGCGAGGCUGCUGCCCUCGAACACGCUGGGCCUCGUGAGUCCGUCCGCUGAGGAAAGCCCAAAGCGCCUGCCGCCUGUCCUGUGUCGUCUUCAAAGUGCAGGUGUGCCCAGUCAAGACCCAGUACGUGCUGCAGGAAUCCUCUGCCUGACUGCUAGAAAUAAAGGAACCGGAUAAAGCUACUGGAAUGAUAAAAAAUUUAUAUGGUUAAAUCAAGUUAAAAGGUCAAUGAUCGUUGAGAUGAACUCUUCCUGAAAGCUGAGCAGGAAGCAAUUCUGUGACCAUAAAAAUAAUUUCAUAGCAAAAUAAAGAGAAUGUAAAAGGAAAAUCAAAGUUUCUCUGCAGGUGGAAUGCAUCUUGUUCUUCAAGUGGCUCAACAGAUUAGCCAGGAGCAAAGCCAACAGCAAAGUGGACCAAACUUGGAAAAUGAGAUUCUGCAGCAAAUAACAGCACUGAGGAAAGAAGGUUUAUGAUCUCUGCAAUGUCCGCCCAAACUCCAAGAGGCCUCACGGCACAAAUCACACUAUGACUAUCUUUUGGAAGAAAUGCAGUGGAUGGCAACUGGUUUUGUUCAGGAAAGGAGAUGGAAGAUGAUAACUGCCGAGAGAGUAAUGGGAGUUUGAUUGUGGCUUGUCAUCAUGCGGAUAUGAUACUUUAUAAGGAAGGAUGCAAGGAAGGAGAAGUGACUGAGGGCUGUUGCUGCUUUUACUGCUAGAGAAACUGAUCGUUUCUCAUCCACCAUUAAACAGGUGGUAGGUUUAAAUCUGCAAGUAGAGUUAGAAGAGAGGAGAAAGAAAGCAUUAAACUCACAGAAGAUCGCAAAAAAAGUAGGUAACUAGGGUCCUAUUCUUGUUGUUUCAAAAAAAAUUAAUGUGCUGAAGUGGAAGAUCGAACUGAAAUGCUGGUGUACUGCUUUGAAAAUUCUUCUCUACCUUGGGAACCCAGGAGAACUUUUUAAAAAAAGAGAGGUAGUGCAGGCCUUUAUUUUGUGGAGGUCCAAAAUGCACGUUGAGAAGCAGUUACCAAGGAAAUACGAGCACGUGCUUGGAUGCGCUCUUUCUGAUCGGCAGAAGUCAAUGUAUAAAGACAUCUUGUCUCGACCAAGAACUCAAGAAUAUCUUAGAAGCAGGCACUUUGUCGGUGUCCUCCAUAUUCUGAUGCAGCUGCAAAGGGCGUGUAGUCAUCCUGAUCUGAUAAGUCCCCAGCUUCCACGUACUUCCUGUGUGUUGGACACGCUGGAGUUUACAACUGCUUCUCUAGUGUUGAAGGCAUUAGGAUGGGAUCUUUGGAAGCAUGUAGGCAGGUCUCUCAUGUGAUGGGGAUGGAAAACCGAACGACUUGCAACGAGGCGCAAAAACUGCCAAAACUGAAGGUAACUAGGAAGCUUAUUGAAGAGAUCUACUCUUCUCCUUCGUCCCCCAGACUUGAGCCAGUGAAGCUCAGACCAAAUAGUCAGCAAGAUAGUACUCUGCCCAGUGGCUUCUACAGCUGGGGCACAAGUGAGAGCUGCUCAGGCAGAGAAGCCUGUAACAUUACAGUUUAGAAGGAAAACAUGUACUUUGUCGUACAGUCAGUUCUGUGGCUUGUUGGUAGACAGUCUCUGAAGCAUCAAGAAUCCCCCUGUAUGGCUGAGACUUGUUGGAAAUUUGCUCUUGGAUCAGUGAAAGAGAAAUCUCUCAGCAUUGUUCUGCCAGGAUUAACAAAUGGUGCUGGGCUGGCUUUGCAAAUUGCCUUCCCAGUUCGAGUACUUCAGAGGUCCUAAAGGAUCCACUGCAAGAACUCCUUCCGACACUGAAGCAGCAUCAGGUCGCCCCGAAGGAUGUUGUUACUCGAGGUCUGCGCGUAUUGGCAGCUGUCACUGUUGCUACUCUGCAUUUCUGCGUAGCAAAUCCUCCUUACGCGUACACCCAGGAAAUGAAGAUCUUGAAGUUAAAUCUAAAGGAACAGAUUUUCCAUUCAAGGCAGCAGAUAGCAUUUUCUGCAGUUCCCAGAUCCCCGGCUGGUGCAGCGUGAACCAGGCAGGAUGGAAGCUCUGGCUGUCUUGCUUUGGAAGCUGAAAGAAAGAGGAUGUCGUGUAUUGAUUUUGACGCAGACGAUUCCAGUGCUUGAUGUAUGGGAGCUUUUCUUGAACUUCCGUUUUCUCGCGUACAUAAGAGUUAAUGAGAGUGGUGCUCGGAGUUGGCAUUAUCUGGUAAGAGGACCUCUUACUCAAGGUAAUAGUGAGCAGAUGCUCAUAACGGGAGGAAAAUGCUAAAGGGAAGUAUACUACAUUUGCAAAAUUCAUUUGCAUGAUUUCAUUAGUUAUUUAAGCAAAUUAUGUCUGUAGCUGUAGCACAAAAUAUGCCAUUACUUAUGAAAUAUGUCAGUCAUAUUACUAUUUGAUGAGGCAUCCGGGGUGUUUCCAGGAGGUAUGCCACUAGUUGUCCUACGUUUAUGAGUAAUUUGUGCUUGAAAUACAGAUGUUUUAUUUCACAACAGCGUUUUGAUAAAUUGCUUUUGCUUUCAUUAUCUGUAGCUGUCUACACUGUUAGUACUUUAAGUGCGGUUGCUGGUUUUGUGUUGGCACUUCCUCAGCCUUACUCCAGGGGCUUUUGUUUUUUGUAGAGUGCCCUGGCAUUGCCUGAGGAUAAAUUGAAAGUAUGCUCAUUUCCCUCCCCAGUAAGAUUCUUAGUAUCCUCUGGGGCCUACGAUUAGAGCAGACAUUAACAAUAUAGUUAAGUUAUUCUUUUCUUAUUUUUUUUUAAUUUCAAAUUGCAUUGCUCUGCUUUCCGUCAGAUGCAGUAUAAACCGUAAAGGGAUACCUUGCCUUAAAGCAACACAAGGCAGCACAAUAGGGGGGAUUCAAUUUAUUCAAUAGACAAGAAAAACGAUGAAGCGCGUGCAGAAUGUGAUAACCCAGUCAGGUGUGCUUAGUCAUAGGGCAUAAUGUGACUCCUGUGAUAGAUCCUCAGAUGUUUAUCUGGCUGACUGCACCAUAAAUUAAUGGUUUUAAUGGUACAGAAAAUAAUUUUGAAUUGUAUAGAUCUGUAAUGUGGGCAGAUAACUUCAAAGGUUUGCAAGCUUAAUGUAGGUUGGGGAAGUAAUAAGAAAGCUAUUUUUCUGAGCUUCUCAUUCUGUAAAAAAGUUCAGAGAUUCAUGCUUUAUUAAUGUGAAUUUGUAACUAAGUUGCUUGUCUCCCCAUUUUAGGAAUCCAUAAAAAACCCCAACCAAGACAAGCGAUUCUUCUGUGCUAUUCUUUCUUCCCACACUCCUUCCACAGAUGUCAGCCAUGUAGAUGCAGAUAUCAUUGUCUUCUGUGACACAGAUUUAGAUCUGCUGAUGGAUACAAAAGCUAAAGAGUGGUGUCAUAAAAUUGCAAGAGACAGAGAUAUUUGCAUAUAUAGGUGACUUUUAUGCUAAGAAAUAGUAUAGGUAUUUUAAAAUAAAAAAUAGAGGGAAGAUGUUUUUAGGUGAAAGGAUUUUUGGCUGAGGUAGUCCUUUUUAGUUCAAGUCAUUUGGUCUUUUAAGACCCUGUUAAAGAUUGGAUCAGUCAGGCAUACUUCCCUUCAGACUAAAGGGAAAAUAAAAUCCCUGCCCUGUCCUUUCCCUUACUGUAUCCUCUAUUCCUGCCUUUCCCUCCCACUUUCAGCUGGUGAGCCAUCUGGAUUUCUGUGCUGGGGCAGUCAAAACAAAGACUAAUAUCUGUGAGCAUUUCGUGCUCUUGAUAAACAAUAUAUGUCUUUCCUGAUGGUCUGUCACUGGAUUUCAGAUCCACUAGUGAUGAGAUGCUGAGCUUCAUGUAGUUCUAAGAUGUAUUUGGAAGUUUCUCUGCAGUGACUGUUUCUUCUCCUGGAAGGAUGUGCUAGGAACAGAGGGGAGCUCUUGCUCACCUUACGCCACUGGCCAAGUAUGCAUGGGUGGUGUCCGUUAGCGAAUACCUGGAUGUUGUAAGGAUCUUUUUAAAAUUCCCAUUGUAUAGAAGACACUACUGUUUAGUGUUCAUUUUGAAAAUAAGACCGUGAAAGAACCUGGUGUUUUGAAAAUACGAAAAAAGAUGUGAAAAGAGUGCAAAAAGAUGUAAAAAGAAACCUGUCCUCUAAGAAACUGGAAAAGAGUACAAAACUUCCUAUGAAAACACCUGACGGACUCUAAACGAGCGUGGGUGCUCACUGCCGUGGGCGAGAAACAUUAGAGGUGAAACACUUGGGUUUCAGAAAGUGCCACUGUUUUCUAGGGAACAGCGUUUAAUGAGUUUCUUUGUUUUACAGGCUUGUAAGUGGUAAUUCUGUUGAAGAGAGGCUGUUGAAAAAAGGUAUUAAACAUUUGAUUCAAGAAGUGGCUGCUCAAGGAAAUGAUUGUUCAACAGACUUUUUAACUCAGGUUCUUUGCUCUGAAUAUGGAAAAGAGGAUUCCAGAAAGUUUAUGGAAGAGACAUGGUCUGAGUUAAGAGGUGACAUAGAUUGAGUUGUAUGAUCCCUCACAGUUGGAACAGCUGGCUGGCUUUGGGGAUGAGCUUAAUCCCAUUGAAAAGUACGCGAUGAAUUCCGUGGAUUUGGUUCACACUUUGAAUGAUCAAAAAAGCCAGAAAGUCAACAAGGAGUUAAAAACUGCAAAUAUAAAAUGGGAGUAUCAGCAUGCCUAGGAGCUGGGAAAGGCAGAAGAAAAAUUUCAGCAGGAAAUGAAAGAGGAACUCUCAACCUAUACCAGACAAGAUGCUUAUAACAUGGUAACAUCAAGGGAUCUCCAAAUCCCUUCUUUUCGAAGAAUUUGCAUAUUGUGACUGUAAGCCCUGUAUUGAAGUGCGUCUGUUGGGUUUGUGUUGUGCUGGUCUUGUGCCCUCGCCCAAGCAGUGUACUCUUGGCAUUGAAGCUGGCGCUCUGGGGAGAGGUUUGGUUCUGUUGAGUAGCAAGUUGCUGUUCAGCAGGAGGGGUGUAGGUUUGUAGGUCGACUUGGAAUUGCACAGUUAUGUAUCAAGGUAAUAACUGGAGGAAGAGACUGAGAAAAAUAAGCUGCCUUUUGAAAAUGAAGAUUAAUUCCUUAAAAUAAAUUUUUUUUCUAACUACUGUUUAUCAUAGUUAUUGCAAACGGGCUUAUGUUUCUAAAUGCUGGGUUCUAGGCUGGCUGAUGUAUUGAGGUAUCAAAAAUUCCUUUUUUCUCAUACAGGUAUUGGUCUGCAAAGGCCCAGAUGGAGAAAUAUUUAAUUUAAUGCCUGUAAGUCAGUAGCCAUUUAUUUCACCUGAAGGAAACCUUGCCUAAAAUACUUUAAUUAAUGGCAAACUGCGGGUUGUUUAUUGAUGUUUUGUGUUGGGUUUUGGUUUUUUUUUUUUAAGCUUUGGGCUCCUCCUGUUGUACCUGAGAACCAUGAUGAUGAUUUAUUGAUUCCAUUAUGUGUCUGAUGUAUCUAUAACCCCGAUUCCAGAGUCUAAGCUUCCACCUCUGUUUGUCAGGAGGGCGUUAAGCAGCAGAGAACAGAUCUGUCCUGUAAGUUGGAUUCAUAAUUGCAUGGGGAGGUGCGGUAACAUUUUUGUGUGAAACAAUAUGAAAACUCAUUUGCAAGAAUAUCUUUAAGUUUGUGUUUAAAAAUUUAGGCAUCCGUGUACUGUUAUCUCUGUUAAGCUUGAAAUCGCUCAGGCAAAAUGAUUGAAUGUAGAGUGAGAGCAGAGGGAGUGCACUGUGAAAACAUGCUGUUGUCCUUACGAAUUAGGAAUAGAAACACGGGUGAAUUAAAUGAGCAGGAGUUAAAGCAGUGAGACUUGUGUGUGCCCAUUUGAUCUGUUUUUAAGCUUAUUUUCUUAGUGAAGCGAGAAGCUGUUUAAAAAUGACUGAUUAAGUCAAAUACUGCACUAGGAUGAUCUGCAGCCAUCAGCUUUCUGUCAUGAUCUUGUUGCACGGGGUUCCUUUCUCACUGGAGAUAACAACUUCGUCCUGUCAAUUAGCUUCGGGUGAGAGAAAGAAGCGUUGCCACAGAAGGAUGUCUGUUCUGCCGCCCUCACUUUUCAAUCAAGUGACUCCAAGAAUAUUGAAAAGACGGCAGAAAAGCAAAGCUCAGAAGACCCUCCUUUUGGUAAAACAGCAAACAUAUUUUGGCAGACCUUUGUCAGCCCUCAUCAAGUCAGUGGCUGACACUGUUUCUAGUCUUGUGGGGCCAGUUGCUGAAGACUCGGCCCUGUUGAAAGCAAGCUGGUACUUUGUUUUUAUUGACUUCAGAAACUUUUUACUUGGAAGUUUAUUACAGCAUCCAUAGACCUUGCUUAAUACAGGAUUAUACAUGCUUGUGCGCACAAGAAAAGCAUUUAAUUGGAACAUUACACUGGUUUGAUUUCUCUCCGCCUCCUAGGCGGUGAAACAGUUACAGGCACUUCCUUUAAAACUUGCUAUUGUGUCACCAGGACAGACAGCAAACCAGGACUUUGUCAGCAAUGUCGUUAACGCUUGUAACUAUGUCUGCUGCUCCCCAAAGCAAUGCCAAAAUCAUUACCUAACAGCACCUGCAGGUCCUGAGGGCAAGGUGAGUUUAAGUUGAAAUGUGCAUUACAUUAUAAAGACUUGUGAUUUCUUUGUUUGGUUGUUUUGGUUUUUUUUUAACUCCUCAUUGCUCUUAGUGGACCACAUGAGUGUGUAGUAAGCAUAAGCAGAGUCAUGACUAUAUUUUAGAAUUUUGAAUAGCUUGGUAUACAGGUGAAUGCUAGUAAAUAUCUUCCCAUCAGUAUGACUGCUAUAGGUUGUAUUUAUUAUAGUUUCCAUACACUUAAGAAUAUGAAUUUCCCGGAUACCGUGACAAUGAAAUGACCUUGGAUGUAUCACAUUGCCUUAUCAGUAUAUUAAAAAUAAGGAAGGGGAGCUGUCUAUUUUAACUGCUGUUUAAGUGGGAGGUUAUGAAUUGUCUUCAGUCAAGACUAUUAUAAACUGAUUUUUGAGGGAGGGCACUUUUGACUACUUAUUUUUGGUACCUAAGCCUUCAAUUUCUAGUUAUUCCAGAAUGUAGGUGGUUAUCGUCUGUGUGUUAGACAAGCCUAUGUGAAAGACCAGAAUUUCUGAGUGUACUCAAAUCUCUAUGAACCACUUUGAGUUGAUGACAACUGCUAGAAAAAGAGGUUCCUCAGAUAGGUUUCUGUACGUUUACUUCUACUGUCCGUGAUGACUUUUUUCCCAGAUUUGACAUUUAAGCAGUUUCGUGGCCUGAUUUGGUGAUUUUUUUUUUUUUUUUUUUCUCUUAAGCAUGUACUUCACAGCAGCAUUUCUCAUCAGAGGUGCUGUGGUGACCUUCAGCCUUAAGCUAAAGCAGUGCAUGUGCCGUCACUGAGCCACCCCUGUGCUUGUGCUGGUGUAAAGAAAAGCUUGAAGUGCUUCAGAGCAGACAACUAUGACAGCAUGACACCCAUGUCUGAAGUUGUUUCCAUCUGUGCAGAGACUGCGAUGAUGCAGGAAAAGGCAUUGACAGAAGAACAAAUAGUUGCACAGCUGUGGGAGCAACAGCCUAGUCGGGAGCAAGAACAGGAGCAAAGGGUGGUGCAAAUCCAAACCCAGUGUCAAUCACAGGGGGGGAACAGUGAUGAGAAGUAAAAACAUGAUUGCCAUGUGGUGCGUGAAUUCAGUUCACUCCUGCAGUUGCAGGCAGAGAAAUCUGUUCGUCCUGGCUAAAUGAAUCUGUAAGCCCGGAUUCACGAGCGCUUAGGGCGUCUGUUUUGUCUUCACUGAGGCUGCGUGUAGGACUCCCAGCAAAUCUGGAGAAUCCGGGGUGUUGAAUAACAGAAGCAUCUUGUUUCACCUGAGCUGAGGUGAAUGGACUUAAACGUUACCAAAAGUACAGUCUUGUUGUUCAAGGACAUAAGAAUAGUGUUCAAAGAAUAAUUAUAGACAAGCUCCUUCUUAAAGAUAGAGAACUUUGGGCUUCAUCCCAGAGUGGGUUUUAUGACGCUGAAAUAGGAUUUCCACAUAUGGAGAGGAACAGAGGUCAUUUUAUGGUACUAAUAUAGUUGUACUUGUUCAAUGUAUUUCUCUCCCUCACGGGAAGAAUUUUGUAAAACUUCAUGCCCUCUUUCGCGAUCUCUUCAGAACACUUGUAGAUGUUAAAAAUACAAGUUUAUUUUAUGGCGCUUUCAGGCUUCAGGAGGUACCCCCUCCCCAGCCGUAGCGGUGUUACAGCGGGUGUUCGUGGUACCGGCUGCUCCAGCGCAGCGGGAGCCCACACGCCUUGCACGUUUUUUCAAGCAGAAGCAUCCGACAGCCUCAAUUGUAACCAUCGCACUGAUGAUGACUGUGCCGAUGGAGACGCUUUCGAUGACUCAUUUACCUCCGGUAAAGUUUUACUUUUUAUUUUCAGUUUACAUUUUGCUAUUGAAAACAAAUCUUCAGUGCAGCACUGCUCACUUUAAGAUUUACUGACAAGUGAAAAUGAUGGGAGAACAGCCUUUCAGUGAGUCCUUUCCACUUUAGAAAACAGUAUAGCCCCAGAUGCUGUAUUAUUUAAGUGUAAUUAUAUUUAA
Non-coding RNA from Phalacrocorax carbo (great cormorant), 8832 nucleotides. The record is from RefSeq and is a predicted model, not a curated record. Lineage: Eukaryota; Metazoa; Chordata; Aves; Suliformes; Phalacrocoracidae.